Molecule: long non-coding RNA, 256 nt
Filed under: Columba livia (rock pigeon)
Lineage: Eukaryota; Metazoa; Chordata; Aves; Columbiformes; Columbidae
Description: partial uncharacterized LOC102098064
Source: RNAcentral
AUCUGAUAACGGAGUACCUCAAAGGCAGAAUUUCACAUAUGUCAGCGUUCAAGUAUUAGAUGUGAACGAUAACCCUCCUCAGUUUACGAGAGCACAUUACUCAGCCAACGUACGUGUAGCAACAGCAGAAGAAGGAGCGUCUGUGCUAUCUGUGUCUGCUACUGACCUUGACCUUGGGAACAACUCUGUUAUUUCAUACAGCCUCCUGAACCAUUCUGAUGAUUUCCGUAUAAAUAACCGCACUGGAGAAAUCACC